CUUGGUGGGAUUGCUGGCGCCUCUGACGUGUGACCCCAUGCCCACAUCCCGCCAGCUGGCCGUCACCUGUCUGAGCUCCCUUCUCCGAAUCCAAGCCAAGGCGACCAAUGGAGUCAUCAAGAUGGGUGACAUCGGGAGCCUGUGUGAGGGGCUGAAUGACCGCAGCACCGUCUGUCAGCUCCAGACCUCUUCCAAAAUUGCACGGAUUGUGUACAGGGACUUCCCCUUGGAAGACACCAUAGAUUUCAUGAUGGCCAUCAAGGACGCCUUCCGGAAGGCCAAAGGAAUGCGUGUGCGUGCUGCUGGGAGGUGGAUGAUCACCUUUCUGCAGAUGUAUGGCAAGGACAUCUGUCGGGACGUGCCACUGACCAACUACAUCCUGCA
RNAcentral lists this long non-coding RNA (384 nucleotides) under Gallus gallus (chicken). Its description in RNAcentral is "lncRNA (ENSGALG00010003036.1)". The record is from RNAcentral. Lineage: Eukaryota; Metazoa; Chordata; Aves; Galliformes; Phasianidae.